GGGCCCGUAGCCUAGCCAGGAUAGGGCACCGGCCUCCUAAGCCGGGGGUCCGGGGUUCAAAUCCCCGCGGGCCCGCCA
Molecule: transfer RNA, 78 nt
Filed under: Desulfurococcales archaeon ex4484_217_1
Lineage: Archaea; Thermoproteati; Thermoproteota; Thermoprotei; Desulfurococcales
Also listed under: 2 other names
Description: tRNA-Arg
Rfam family: tRNA
About the family: Transfer RNA (tRNA) molecules are approximately 80 nucleotides in length. Their secondary structure includes four short double-helical elements and three loops (D, anti-codon, and T loops). Further hydrogen bonds mediate the characteristic L-shaped molecular structure. tRNAs have two regions of fundamental functional importance: the anti-codon, which is responsible for specific mRNA codon recognition, and the 3' end, to which the tRNAs corresponding amino acid is attached (by aminoacyl-tRNA synthetases). tRNAs cope with the degeneracy of the genetic code in two manners: having more than one tRNA (with a specific anti-codon) for a particular amino acid; and 'wobble' base-pairing, i.e. permitting non-standard base-pairing at the 3rd anti-codon position.
Source: RNAcentral